RNAcentral lists this ribosomal RNA (482 nucleotides) under uncultured bacterium. RNAcentral describes it as "bacterial SSU rRNA". It matches the Rfam family "Bacterial small subunit ribosomal RNA", at positions 29 to 506 of the family's 1533-position model. The record is from RNAcentral.
UUGAACGCUGGCGGAAUGCUUUACACAUGCAAGUCGGGCGGCAGCGCGGGGGCAACCCUGGCGGCGAGCGGCGAACGGGUGAGUAACAUAUCGGAACGUACCCAGACGUGGGGGACAACUAGUCGAAAGACUAGCUAAUACCGCAUACGUCCUGAGGGAGAAAGCGGGGGAUCGCAAGACCUCGCGCGUUUGGAGCGGCCGAUAUCUGAUUAGCUAGAUGGUGGGGUAAAGGCCCACCAUGGCGACGAUCAGUAGCUGGUCUGAGAGGAUGAUCAGCCACACUGGAACUGAGACACGGUCCAGACUCCUACGGGAGGCAGCAGUGGGGAAUUUUGGACAAUGGGGGAAACCCUGAUCCAGCCAUUCCGCGUGAGUGAAGAAGGCCUUCGGGUUGUAAAGCUCUUUCGGCAGGAACGAAACGGCGGAAUCUAAUACAUUCCACUAAUGACGGUACCUGAAGAAGAAGCACCGGCUAACUACGU